Molecule: ribosomal RNA, 709 nt
Filed under: uncultured Lachnospiraceae bacterium
Lineage: Bacteria; Bacillati; Bacillota; Clostridia; Lachnospirales; Lachnospiraceae
Description: bacterial SSU rRNA
Rfam family: Bacterial small subunit ribosomal RNA
Source: RNAcentral
GACGAACGCUGGCGGCGCGCCUACACAUGCAAGUCGAACGAGCGAGAGAGAGUUUACUUCUUCGAUCGAGUGGCGAACGGGUGAGUAACGCGUGAGGAACCUGCCUCAAAGAGGGGGACAACAGUUGGAAACGACUGCUAAUACCGCAUAAGCCCACGGGUCGGCAUCGACCUGAGGGAAAAGGAGCAAUCCGCUUUGAGAUGGCCUCGCGUCCGAUUAGCUAGUUGGUGAGGUAACGGCCCACCAAGGCGACGAUCGGUAGCCGGACUGAGAGGUUGAACGGCCACAUUGGGACUGAGACACGGCCCAGACUCCUACGGGAGGCAGCAGUGGGGAAUAUUGCACAAUGGGGGAAACCCUGAUGCAGCGACGCCGCGUGGAGGAAGAAGGUCUUCGGAUUGUAAACUCCUGUUGUUGAGGAAGAUAAUGACGGUACUCAACAAGGAAGUGACGGCUAACUACGUGCCAGCAGCCGCGGUAAAACGUAGGUCACAAGCGUUGUCCGGAAUUACUGGGUGUAAAGGGAGCGCAGGCGGGAAGAUAAGUUGGAAGUGAAAUCUAUGGGCUCAACCCAUAAACUGCUUUCAAAACUGUUUUUCUUGAGUAGUGCAGAGGUAGGCGGAAUUCCCGGUGUAGCGGUGGAAUGCGUAGAUAUCGGGAGGAACACCAGUGGCGAAGGCGGCCUACUGGGCACCAACUGACGCUGAGG